UACUCCUACGGGAGGCAGCAGUAGGGAAUCUUCGGCAAUGGGGGCAACCCUGACCGAGCAACGCCGCGUGAGUGAAGAAGGUUUUCGGAUCGUAAAGCUCUGUUGUAAGAGAAGAACGAGUGUGAGAGUGGAAAGUUCACACUGUGACGGUAACUUACCAGAAAGGGACGGCUAACUACGUGCCAGCAGCCGCGGUAAUACGUAGGUCCCGAGCGUUAUCCGGAUUUAUUGGGCGUAAAGCGAGCGCAGGCGGUUAGAUAAGUCUGAAGUUAAAGGCUGUGGCUUAACCAUAGUACGCUUUGGAAACUGUUUAACUUGAGUGCAGAAGGGGAGAGUGGAAUUCCAUGUGUAGCGGUGAAAUGCGUAGAUAUAUGGAGGAACACCGGUGGCGAAAGCGGCUCUCUGGUCUGUAACUGACGCUGAGGCUCGAAAGCGUGGGGAGCAAACAGGAUUAGAUACCCUGGUAGUCCACGCCGUAAACGAUGAGUGCUAGGUGUUGGGUCCUUUCCGGGAUUCAGUGCCGCAGCUAACGCAUUAAGCACUCCGCCUGGGGAGUACGACCGCAAGGUUGAAACUCAAAGGAAUUGACGGA
Molecule: ribosomal RNA, 592 nt
Filed under: uncultured bacterium
Lineage: Bacteria
Description: bacterial SSU rRNA
Rfam family: Bacterial small subunit ribosomal RNA
Source: RNAcentral